Molecule: ribosomal RNA, 316 nt
Filed under: uncultured Ruminococcus sp.
Lineage: Bacteria; Bacillati; Bacillota; Clostridia; Eubacteriales; Oscillospiraceae
Description: partial 16S ribosomal RNA
Source: RNAcentral
GGAGUCUGGGCCGUGUCUCAGUCCCAAUGUGGCCGUUCAACCUCUCAGUCCGGCUACUGAUCGUCGACUUGGUGAGCCGUUACCUCACCAACUAUCUAAUCAGACGCGAGCUCAUCUUUCAGCGAUAAAUCUUUGAUAACAAAAUCAUGCGGUCCUGUUAUGUUAUGCGGUAUUAUCAGUCGUUUCCAACUGCUAUCCCCCUCUGAAAGGCAGAUUGCUCACGUGUUACUCACCCGUCCGCCACUAAGUUAUCCAAAGCAAGCUCUAAAUAACUCCGUUCGACUUGCAUGUGUUAAGCGUGCCGCCAGCGUUCGUC